GCGCACGGCGCAGGCUGGGCGCGCCCCACGCUCACCUGCGCAGCCCGGCCGCGCCGCCUAGCAGCCGCGCCCGCCAGGGACUCUGCGCCCUUUGUUUAUAUUCCGAGCAAGAGGUUUGCAUUAUUAAGUACGUCCCAGAAUGCUCUUUUUAUUUCUGCCAGUCUUAUUUCGGGGUGGGGGCGGUACUGAAAGCCAGACGUUUGUGUCUCGCUACCUUGCAAGCCAGUAAUGACGGAGCCAAAUGCUAAUUAAAUCUGUAACCAGAUGGGUCUAAUUUGGGCAGGAAUUGAUUUUCCUGAGGCUCUGCGAGCCCUGGGGGACGUGGGCGCCAGAGCGCGGCGCAGCGGGCGGCUCGAGGGCCCCCUGCCGGGGGGUGGUGGACGCGGCGGAAACCUCAGCUGGCGGAAGCGGGUGGCUCGGCCAGCUGGGGCCAUCGGCCAGAAGCCUUGCGUGGCUCCGCAUUAAAUUGGUGGUGACGUUUCAAAGCCUGUUGGAGCAAGGUCAAGAAAAUAGCACAGCCUAAGUGGGUCUGGGCGCAGCGCGAGGAAGGAGAGCGGCGCAGUUAGACCGACCGGCGCUUGGUGGCGUCCUGCGCUGGAGCCCGGCAGCCAACGCAGACCCCACAGAACUCGGGCGUCCGACUGUCGCGUGACGCGCAAGCUUCUUCCAACAACUAGUGACCUUACUCCUGUGUGAAGAAGGACGGGGACCCCCUCAAAGGGCGUGUAUUUCCGUUUACACCAACCACCGGCCCCGCGCCUUCGCCUUGGCUUGCUGUGACUUCCGCGGCAGUUUAAAAUAACAUUUGUAAUCACCUAUGAAAUCUUACCAUGUGCCAGGCACGAAUAUGAAUCCGUGUAAUGACAAAGGCUAGAAAUCUAUAAAGAUUCCAAAUUAAAGAGGCGCACUCCUCUUCCUCUGAUUUCUCCCAGUGUACUGUGAUGGCAAUCGUUAAUUGCACUUAAUUCCAGCUUCCCCCAGUUAAGUGGUUAAAUUUUCUUUCCAAAUACAAACACAAAAUUCAAAUAGCAGUAUGAAUUCUGAAUUAGGAGGGCAAGCUAUUCUGUGGGAACAGCUGCCAUUGAGAACAGCUGCAGUUGCCAAAGAAGCCCUUGCUGUCUCUGAGAAGUGCUCUCUGCCUGCGCGGUUCUGCUCGGUCCUGAGAAUGGCGGUGUGAAGUAGCUCCUUGUGCCCAUUUUACUGGUAACACGCAAGUGGUGAGUUGGAAUGCAGAUCGUGGCUCCUCCUCCAGAAUCGGAAAACCGACCUUUUCCAUCCAGCUUCCCAGCAAACAGUAGUGCAAUUGAAACUACUUCAAAUUUUGUUCCUAAAGAGUCUUUAUCGAGGAAAGUUCUCAGCCCACAGGUAGUUGUCCAUUGAGAUUCUUAUUUACUCUUAUCAACUGAUGAUUUGCAAAAUAAGUCAGAAUAUACUCAUUACAGUGUCAGAUUCUAUUAUAAUCAAG
RNAcentral lists this long non-coding RNA (1465 nucleotides) under Marmota monax (woodchuck). Lineage: Eukaryota; Metazoa; Chordata; Mammalia; Rodentia; Sciuridae. The record is from RNAcentral.